RNAcentral lists this ribosomal RNA (253 nucleotides) under uncultured bacterium. Its description in RNAcentral is "partial 16S ribosomal RNA". It matches the Rfam family "Bacterial small subunit ribosomal RNA", at positions 524 to 776 of the family's 1533-position model. The record is from RNAcentral.
UACGUAGGGUGCAAGCGUUGUCCGGAUUUAUUGGGCGUAAAGAGCGCGUAUGCGGUCAUCUGAUUGUGCUGUGAAAACUCGAGGCUCAACCUCGAGCUGUCGGUGGAAACUGUCUGGCUAGAGUCCGGAAGAGGAGAGUGGAAUUCCUGGUGUAGCGGUGAAAUGCGCAGAUAUCAGGAAGAACACCUAUGGCGAAGGCAGCUCUCUGGGACGGUACUGACGCUGAGACGCGAAGGCGUGGGGAGCGAACAGG